This 440-nucleotide ribosomal RNA is filed under the name uncultured bacterium. RNAcentral's name for it is "partial 16S ribosomal RNA". It matches the Rfam family "Bacterial small subunit ribosomal RNA", at positions 338 to 795 of the family's 1533-position model. The record is from RNAcentral.
CCUACGGGUGGCAGCAGUGGGGGAUAUUGCACAAUGGGGGGAACCCUGAUGCAGCGACGCCGCGUGGGUGAAGAAGCGCCUCGGCGCGUAAAGCUCUGUCAGCAGGGAAGAAAAUGACGGUACCUGACUAAGAAGCCCCGGCUAACUACGUGCCAGCAGCCGCGGUAAUACGUAGGGGGCAAGCGUUAUCCGGAUUUACUGGGUGUAAAGGGAGCGCAGACGGCGAUGCAAGCCAGAAGUGAAAGCCCGGGGCCCAACCCCGGGACUGCUUUUGGAACUGUGUGGCUGGAGUGUAGGAGGGGCAGGCGGAAUUCCUGGUGUAGCGGUGAAAUGCGUAGAUAUCAGGAGGAAAACCAGUGGCGAAGGCGGCCUGCUGGACGAUAACUGACGUUGAGGCUCGAAAGCGUGGGGAGCAAACAGGAUUAGAUACCCUGGUAGUC